GGAGGACAGUAAUCAAUCCAUUUGAGAUCAGUGCAUGGAUCACCUUCUUUACGGACAGACGAGUCUCGAGUCAGCAGUGUGCGGAUACUGGGAUAAGAGUAUAGAUGGUUGUUAGAGAACAACUUAUACCGAGUGUGACCAACAUGAAAAAUUACUUAGAUGUCAACUCACUCGUCAGUGAUCUUCUCGAUACUACAGUGGUGUGAGUGAUCCUUUGACCUACGGUGCAUCGCUAUUUAUAGUGAAGCUAUUGAGUUUG
RNAcentral lists this long non-coding RNA (259 nucleotides) under Elaeis guineensis (African oil palm). RNAcentral describes it as "long non-coding RNA (EGUI_LNC067636)". Lineage: Eukaryota; Viridiplantae; Streptophyta; Magnoliopsida; Arecales; Arecaceae. The record is from RNAcentral.